This 2223-nucleotide long non-coding RNA is filed under the name Podarcis muralis (Common wall lizard). RNAcentral describes it as "lncRNA (ENSPMRG00000004267.1)". The record is from RNAcentral. Lineage: Eukaryota; Metazoa; Chordata; Lepidosauria; Squamata; Lacertidae.
GGUGGGGGAGAGACAAGGAGCCAUCCAUGCCAACCCAUUUCGGCCACCCCGCUCUCCCUGCGACACUUACACAGCCAAGGGGAUCUGCUGCUCCGAGCCGGCCACGGCCACCAGGCUGAGGCAAACACCUGCCCAGAAGAGGGCGAGGAGCCCCGCGGAAGCCCUCCCGAGCCCGGGCAUGGUGUCGGUCCUCGGCGUGCCUUCCCAGCGACGCUGCUCUCGGCUUGCGCGGCGGCGGAGAGGGAAAAGCGAGCGGGCGGGCGGGCGAGCGCGGAGCCGGGGCGCGGCGGGGCGCGGAGUCACGGCGCCAUCCUCUUCUCCUCAGCUCCGCGAGCGGGGCGGCUGGCUGGCUGGCUUCGCUCCAGAUCCUGAGGCGGGUCGGGCUCUCCCGGCUGGUCCCCGAAAAGUGGGGUGUCCUCGGCAACCCGCCCCACGGGCUUGCCACGCUGCUGGGCAACCACAACUCCGCUCCGCAGUCGGCGGCGCGCCGGAGUUACUUCCGCGAGUGACCUCGUGGCUGCUCCCGCCGGCGCCUUGAAGUGCAGAGCCCGGCAGGUUUGGGCGGGAAGGAGCUCGCUCGCUGUCGUCGAGGGUCAGGUGGGGAGGAGCUCGGCGGCCGAAGCGCGGCUCACUUUGCCCAGGGAAACGCAAAGAGGUCCCUCCCUCCGUCCCCUUUUGGGCGACGUGUGUACGCGCGCCUCCCUCUCCCUCUCGCCCGCCUCCCUCCCUCUCUCUGCGUUCAUUCAGCGCUGCGCAGCUCCAGCGCAGCCUUCGUUCCAAAUCAAGUCCGCGCUGCUAAUAUACCCUGGUGGAGAGCGGCGCGGCGUCGGCCGCCUUUUAAGGAGAUGGUGCGCGCCGUCAGGCAGGCAUCGCAGGGGGAGGGAGGAGCAGCAGGAGGAGGAAGAAGAAGAAGAAGAAGCAGAAGAGCGAGCCAGGGCCGAAAGUGUCUCCAAGGCGGCAGAAGCGGAGCAAGUCCGCAGGAAAAAGUGCGGGACGAUCCGCGUUGGGAUCAGCGGCAGCAGGGAGCCAGAGGGAAAGGCGCCGCUGCCAGAUCCGCAGCCCCUCCCGCCGCCGCCGCCGGAGGAAGAGACCUGCUCAGAGUAGCAGCCUGAAGAAGGUGACAGCCAGAGACUCACUCAUAUAAUUAAUAAUGAAGCGGUACUUAAUAAACAUAACAGAAAAUUCAAAAUUCAACAAGAUGUAGUUCUGAAUGCAACACAUACAUUCAUCACGUACACCUCCCACACACAGAAAUGAAACAGCGUGAACAACAACUGCUGAGAGGGAAGGGCUUUCUUCUGGGUGCUUGUUUCUUAUCGGUUAUAAAUUAGCAGUUUUCCCAUACAUAUCUCCCUGUAUAGUAUGCUUUUGCCAAUGAAUUCCAGUGGGUAGGUGCAGAUUCAUGUUAUAGUAGUAAGACAAUGGCACCAUACACCACAAACAGCACCUCUGGUUUUUUUAGGUCACAAUUGUGAAAGCAGAGACUCCCUUUCUAAAUACAAUAACACACUGAAAAGGUGGAAUUAACAAUCUAGCCAUGCAAUCCGUAAUCAUAACAUAAUAAGGGAUAGUAAAUGGGUUUCUAAUACACAUUAAAUUAUUUUGAAUAAAUAACUUUACAGUUAUUUCAUGGAAAAUGGGGGUAAGAAACUUUUGGCUCUUCAGAUGUCAAACUCCAACUGUCAUCAUUCCUGACCAUUAGCCAUCCUGGCUGAGGCCAAUGCAAGUUGCAGUUCAACAACAACAAAAGCAGUUUAGGGCAACCAUUCCAUCCCUCUUGCUGAUUCCUGCUAGUCUAAAAAUGGCCAUUUUGGCUACAGAUUAAUCGUGUCAGCAUUAAGGAUGUAAGAAGGCACCCAUUUCCAUUCCAUUGAGACGCGGUCUGGUUUCCACCAAAUACUAUGCUAUUCAUCUUGCUGUCCACUAUUUAACAUAAUCUGUGUAGUUAUUUAUGUAAUGUACAUAAGCUAUGCAUUUAAUACAGAUGCAAUUAUACCCAUACUGUUCAUUUCAAUGUAAAGGAAAUAUCAGAACAAUGGGGGGAAAGUAAUUAAUUGCAUAUGCAGGCUUUAAAGAAAAUAGUAAUCAUAUUUUUCUGGAUUAAUACCAAUUGUAUUUGCUUCCGUUUCCAGUGGAAUUCUCUGGCACGCCAGUUAAUGCUGCUGGAAGAGUUCAAAGGUCAGCAUUUUAAGAAAAGUAUUUAUUCAUAUGCCAAUAGAUGCA